CUAUCGCUUACAGAUGGGCCCGCGGUGCAUUAGCUAGUUGGUAGGGUAAUGGCCUACCAAGGCAACGAUGCAUAGCCGACCUGAGAGGGUGAUCGGCCACACUGGGACUGAGACACGGCCCAGACUCCUACGGGAGGCAGCAGUAGGGAAUCUUCCGCAAUGGACGAAAGUCUGACGGAGCAACGCCGCGUGUAUGAAGAAGGUUUUCGGAUCGUAAAGUACUGUUGUUAGAGAAGAACAAGGAUAAGAGUAACUGCUUGUCCCUUGACGGUAUCUAACCAGAAAGCCACGGCUAACUACGUGCCAGCAGCCGCGGUAAUACGUAGGUGGCAAGCGUUGUCCGGAUUUAUUGGGCGUAAAGCGCGCGCAGGCGGUCUUUUAAGUCUGAUGUGAAAGCCCCCGGCUUAACCGGGGAGGGUCAUUGGAAACUGGAAGACUGGAGUGCAGAAGAGGAGAGUGGAAUUCCACGUGUAGCGGUGAAAUGCGUAGAUAUGUGGAGGAACACCAGUGGCGAAGGCGACUCUC
RNAcentral lists this ribosomal RNA (525 nucleotides) under Listeria monocytogenes. RNAcentral's name for it is "bacterial SSU rRNA". It matches the Rfam family "Bacterial small subunit ribosomal RNA", at positions 212 to 729 of the family's 1533-position model. The record is from RNAcentral. Lineage: Bacteria; Bacillati; Bacillota; Bacilli; Caryophanales; Listeriaceae.